AGUCUGAUGUACCGAGAUGGUUUGAACCUUUCGAGGAAGACGUUUCUGGUUCUGAAAAACACUGGUCAGAUAUUUCAACUUGGAGCCACGAAGAGGCAAAAUGAACUUCAGGACCUGAGAAAAUCGAACCAAGCUCACUUAUCAAAGUUCUUAUGUAGACAGUGGAUGAGAUUUCAAUACGCAUUUUCAUGUAUUGACUUUGUGUGUUUUAAAUUUUUAAUAGAAAACUAUAUCACAUCCAGAUUAUAUUUAUUAAUGAUUUACUUGUAUUUUAUUAGAGUGAGUUAUAUUUAUUAUUGAUUUUAAAAGCAAUAAUUAAUAAAUAAAAUCUGAGUAAGCUCUAAAUUUUUAAUAUCUCAUCAUAAAAUCUAAAGAUAACACAAAAAAUAAAAUGAUAAAAAGAAAUUCCAACACUAAUAAUAUAUUAGAAAAACAAAAAGAGCAUUUUUUACCUUAAGUUCUAAACCCUAAUCAUGCCCUAAACCCUAACUACAUACCUCAAACCCUAUAUCUUAAAUUCCAUUUUAUACAUAAAUCUUCAAUUUUAAACAUUUCAAUCCAAACACUCAAAUUAUAUAUCAUACCGAAAUAUUCAACUUUAAACAUUAUAAUACAAACCCUACAUAUACCCCUAGUCCUACUUAUAAGUCCAAACCCUAUAUCAUAUUCCAAACUCUAUACAAAAAGUAUUAAAUCAUAACAUUUUAAAUUUAUAACACUUAUAUAUACUAAAUUAUAAAAUUAUACAAACUAUAAAAUCUAAAUAAAAUCAGUAUAUUCAUAAUAUAACUUCAAUCCCUAAACUCCAAACUACAUACCUCAUAUUAACCUAUGUCACAUAAAACAUUAAAUCUUAAUUUUUAAUCAAUCACACAAUUUGAAAAUUUAAAUACAAAAUACAGAUUAAAAUUUUUAAAUUAUGAUAUCAAAUUAUUUAAAGUUUAAAUAGAUUAACAAUUAUUAUAAAUAAAAAAGAAGAUAAUUUGUACUGUUUUUUCUGAGCCAUUGAUUGAUUUUUAAAUCAAAGGUCCAAAAUCAGUCUCCUAUCUAUCUUCACCUUUGUUUUCUAUUGGUUUGGCGCGGAUCACCAUCUGUACCAUUAGAUCAUACUGAAUCAACGCUUGAGAUUUGUUUCUUUUUUUCCAAUUAUUUUCUGAGAACAGAUCUCGUGUUUGAGAGAGAGAGAGGGAGAGAGAGAGGCGAUUGGGUAAAGCUGUGCUCGACGCCCUAGCAAACCUCAGCCUCCUUAUCUUCCUCUUCCUCGUCGGCCUCGAGAUUGAUCUGAAAUCUCUCCGCCGCACCAGCCAAAAAGUGAUUUCCAUCGCAGCCGCCAGAAUGCUCCUCUCUUUCGCGAUGGGCGUCGUCACCUCUUCGCUUUCCCGGAAGUUUCUUCACCGGAAUCCGUACCUUCACCAGCGCAUACCACGGUGGACGGGAUGACUCGAAGCCAAUCGGAGUGGACCUUCCACAGGCUUCUCAAGGAGAUGUCCGGUUCCAAGAAGGCCGCUCCUGUUGCUGCCAAGGCUGCAAGCAGUUCAGAUUCGUCUGAGGAAGAUUCCGAUGAGGUUAGUUUAUGUUCUUUACUCUUUAGAGAUCAUUAAACAGCUUCUGAUGACAAGGAAACAUUUGAUUCAUUUACCACGUGGUUGAUUGGUUGAUUUGCAGGAAAGUGAAGAUGAAAAACCUGCACCAAAGGCAAAACAAGAUACCAAGAGUGCUAAAAAGGAUAGUAGUAGCGAUAAAUCCGGCUCUGAUGAAUCAGAGAGUGAAGAUGAGGAAGAAACCCCAAAGAAAAAGGUUUGCAAUGCAUCCUGCCUAUUAUUUGAUUGCAUAUUGCUUUUACUUGUUUUUUGCUGAUGGAAAGUUACUCCCUUUUAUGAAAACAGUGCUCUGAUGUCGAAAUGGUGGAUGCUGAGAUGAAACAGGUAAAGAAUAUUCCCUUCUCUUAACAUUGUAGUUGCUGUAAUCUCUUUCUGUAUCUUGCUUAGAAUUUUAGUUUUUGUUUCAUGGUCUUUCAGCCAAAGAAGGUACAACAACGUUUUAGUUGCUCGCCACAUCUCAAGCAGUGGAGAUGAUGGAGAUGAUGGAGAUGAUGUGCACCUAACGUGUUGGUAGAGUGACAGGCUCCACAAAGUUCUUGAGUUUGUGAGCACAGUUCAUGAUCUGUGUGAAGAUGAGGUUGAUUCAGAGGAUGAAUAUGAAGAAAACACUGAUCAGUUGACAUGAGAGAUUUGUGUUGUUGGUGUUAUGAUCAUGGGGAAAUUUGUGUUUGGUGUUUGUUGAACUUGAUACGUUUGGAUGGAAGUAGAUUUGUAAACUUUUCAUGUUUAAUGUAAAAUAUGCAAUUUCAUUUUUGUUUUUCUAAAUUAAAUUGUAUUUAUAAAAUUAAAUGGAAUAAAAAAGCUACAAUUACAAAAUCCAAAUCAGUAAAAUGGAUGACACAAUGCUAUUACAAAAUCGUUGUUUACUUAACUAUAGCAUACAACAGAUCCGCUAUCAAAAGGGUCGUACCUACGAUAACGGGCGCUGUCAGAGCGUUUUAGGGAACGCUAUUAAAACGAACUAAUAGCGUUUAACGCCAGCUAUUAAUACCCACAUUUUCUGUAGUGACAUAGCCAGAAUUCAGCGUGCGAACGACGUAUCUCGCUCUACAUCGAUCGACAGACAUCGAUAGACAGUCGCUUACACGCAUCGAUCGAUAGCCGCUUACCAGCAUCGGUUGACGACAACCAACCACACUCACAUACAAUGAAGUCUCAACCAGAUUUUCACACCAGGGGAGAGAUAGAUCAGUUGGUAGAAGGGAUCUACAGAGCUCUGGAAACUACAGAGGAGAUGCUUGAUAGGAGGUGUGAUGACAUCUAUUUUCCAAUGGAUCUUAGCAUUAGUGCUUUGACUUCCAAGAUAGAAGCUAUUCAAGGGGAAUUAGUGGAGAUUCAGAGUUACAUUCCCCGUCGACCAGAAGCAUCAGCAUCGAUCGACAGACGCAACAAUAAAUCGACCGACACUCACAGACAAAUAUCGGUCAACAACGCUACAAAUCGAGGGAGGCUAGUACAAAAGAUAACAUCAGAUAUGUCUGACACACACAACCAUGGAGAGGAGAUCUCAGCUGACACAUACGCCAUAAUUAUGAGACAUCAGUUCCAUCUUGAGAGUCUUGGAGAUAGAUUGCAAAAGAUAGAAGAUGCAACUACAAUAAUGAAGGACUAAUGGCGCAGAGGAGAUAAAGCAAUGCAAUACUUCACAGGUACAUGGUUGUUUCCCAAUAAGUGCAGGGAAGAGAUGGAGACUUGUUUCCCAACAAGUGCCAGCUUUCAACAUUACUAGCCCAAAUCACCUCCAAAGUCUAUCUAAAUGACUAUAGCAAAGCGCUGAGUGGGAGACAACCCACUAUUAGGUAAUAUUUACUUGAUUUUUCUUAAUCUACUAUUUAUGUUGGUUUUUAAUUAUUGCAGGUCAUAAAAAAAAAAAAGAAAUCCGAGUAGACGAUUGCUGUCAGUAUCGACCGACGAGACACUCUCGACAUCGAUCGACAUAACAUCACCUGCCGUGACCGAUAUCAACAUCCUUACAUCGGUCGACAUCCAUUCCGGUCUGGUAUAUUGUUCUAACUUGUUACAUUACGUACUUAUGAUUUAUUUAUCACCAUAACUCCGACUGAGGUUACACUAGGGUGUCGUGUGUAGUUUAAGUCUGGGGGGAGGUUUACUGAUAUAAGUUUAUUCAUGAAUUUAAAAAAAAUAUUUUCAAACAUAAAGUUUUUAUUGAGUCAAGAAGGGGAUAAUGAACUUAUUAGAUUUUUACUUGUUAUCUAACCACUAUUUAGCACCAUUCUAGAACUUACUGAUUGCAGAUAGUACUAAAGAUAUUAAAGUGGAUCUAUCUGUCAACUAAGUUAUUCAUGGAAGUCUGUCAAAUCUUAGUCAAUGAUCUUGCAAAUAUAAGCAGACUUUGACUAAGAGAGAAAAUUAGUAGAGAGAGAGGAUAGGAACUAAUGUUUACCUGCAGGUCCAGAUACUUGUUUGAAAAUCCUUGCAUCCUAUGAUCGAUACUCCCACGGUAAAGACUGCACUUUUAUUUAUGCUAAGAAAUGAGGUUGGUAGAGGGGAAUGUCAGACAAGAUUUGCUAUGUUGUUAGCUAGGUGAAUUUGGUUCCUAAGCUACGAUAUGAUAUAAUGUGCUUUUGUGAUCAGGACUUCUUAGAUGUGGAUUGCAAUACUGUAGAGGUGAUGAUUCUAAGUUUAAAAUUGUGUGAGUCCCUGCUGUUUUCAAACCUCUUUCAGAGAUACUGCUUCUUUGUUUUGCUUGAAGAACCUCAUCUCGAUCUGUCAAAUAUCAUUCUCAGCCAAAAAUACUUCUCCUUUAUCCACACAGGAGUUUCCAGCUUAUAUAGAUAUGUUCAUGUUGUUCUUGGAUUUUGGCUAUUUUCGGGGAAUUGUAGAGGACACAGAGAGAAAGGUCUCUUGUGUAUGGGCUCAAGGUCUCCUUGGAGAUCUUGAGAUUGUAAUUGGUUCCGAUAAACAAUAAUAUAGUACUUGGUUGCUUAUCAAUUGGUGCGGUGAGCCGUUCGAUCGCUGAGACGGUGACGGUGAGCUCAAUCAGACGCAACGGUGAAGACGGAUCAUAACAAUGAGUUCUGAGAAGUUUCCGGUCUUCAAUGGCGUUGCUGAUGAAUUGCGGCCAUGGAUUUCAUCAAUUGAGGUUGGAACGAUCAAACGCGACGGUGAGACGUCUGGCGCUUUGCGAAGAACUUCAAUGGAGGUUUCAAGAGACGUUUCAACAGAAUCGAUACAGUUCGGAGCAUUUACGAUGGGAGUCAUGGAGAUUCCUGUGUUUUCUGGUGAUGAUUUGAGACCAUGGAUUAAUUGGAUGGAGAAUCGAUUUGCGGCGGAAGACUUCACGGAUGAUCAAAAGAUGGCGUUGGCUUACGCUGUCAUCAGAGGAGAAGCUGAGUCUUGGUACAACAAUCGAGUAUUGCGGUGUCCUUUUCAAAAUUGGAAAGACCUCAAAGAUGCGAUGUUGCUGCGGUAUGGAAACCAUGACGAUCCAUAGCGAAUUGUUUUUUGCUUGGAGUUGGAAAGAAAGUGGCAAGAAACAGAGAUGACGAGGCCAUCACCAUCGUUCGUGGUAACUGAUUCAAUUCCAUAGGCUGAUGCGACUAACAUAGAAGAAACAGAUUCAUGUCUGGUGACUGAUUGUGAUCAUGACGACGAUGAUAACGAUCAUGAUGAUUCUGGUUUCAUGCAAGAAGCUCUACACUAUGAAGAAACGAUUCUGGCAGAGGAGGAGGAGGUAGAAUUGAAGCCAGAGGACAGAACAAGAUAAGUUUAGCUCCUAAGUCUUGGAUGUUUAAAUUCAAAGGGCACCUAGAGAUGGGUUUAGCUCAUAAGUCUUGGAUGUUUAAAUUCAGUGCUUGAGUCUGAUGUACCGAGAUGGUUUGAACCUUUCGAGGAAGACGUUUCUGGUUCUGAAAAACACUGGUCAGAUAUUUCAACUUGGAGCCACGAAGAGGCAAAAUGAACUUCAGGACCUGAGAAAAUCGAACCAAGCUCACUUAUCAAAGUUCUUAUGUAGACAGUGGAUGAGAUUUCAAUACGCAUUUUCAUGUAUUGACUUUGUGUGUUUUAAAU
This 5633-nucleotide long non-coding RNA is filed under the name Brassica napus (rape). Its description in RNAcentral is "long non-coding RNA (BNAP_LNC025748)". Lineage: Eukaryota; Viridiplantae; Streptophyta; Magnoliopsida; Brassicales; Brassicaceae. The record is from RNAcentral.